UAGGGAAUCUUCGGCAAUGGGGGGAACCCUGACCGAGCAACGCCGCGUGAGUGAAGAAGGUUUUCGGAUCGUAAAGCUCUGUUGUUAAGGAAGAACGAGUGUGAGAAUGGAAAGUUCAUGCUGUGACGGUACUUAACCAGAAAGGGACGGCUAACUACGUGCCAGCAGCCGCGGUAAUACGUAGGUGGCAAGCGUUGUCCGGAUUUAUUGGGCGUAAAGCGAGCGCAGGCGGUCAAUUAAGUCUGAUGUGAAAGCCCCCGGCUCAACCGGGGAGGGUGAUUGGAAACUGGUUGACUUGAGUGCAGAAGAGGAGAGUGGAAUUCCAUGUGUAGCGGUGAAAUGCGUAGAUAUAUGGAGGAACACCAGUGGCGAAGGCGACUCUCUGGUCUGUAACUGACGCUGAGGCUCGAAAGCGUGGGUAGCAAACAGG
This 430-nucleotide ribosomal RNA is filed under the name Bacteroidota bacterium. RNAcentral describes it as "Bacteroidetes bacterium partial 16S ribosomal RNA". It matches the Rfam family "Bacterial small subunit ribosomal RNA", at positions 355 to 776 of the family's 1533-position model. The record is from RNAcentral. Lineage: Bacteria; Pseudomonadati; Bacteroidota.